GGACAAUAAAAAAUCUUAAUCGAGCAGGUUCUGCAAUUCACUUCCGAGUGAAUUUCAACCUCUGCCAAUUUGAAUACAAAGCGAACUUGACUCAAAUUCACUUGGAAGUGAAUUGCAGAUCUUGCUGGA
Molecule: long non-coding RNA, 129 nt
Organism: Rhagoletis zephyria (snowberry fruit fly)
Lineage: Eukaryota; Metazoa; Arthropoda; Insecta; Diptera; Tephritidae
Source: RefSeq, a predicted model, not a curated record